Molecule: ribosomal RNA, 422 nt
Filed under: uncultured bacterium
Lineage: Bacteria
Description: bacterial SSU rRNA
Rfam family: Bacterial small subunit ribosomal RNA
Source: RNAcentral
GGAAUUUUGGACAAUGGGGGCAACCCUGAUCCAGCCAUGCCGCGUGCGGGAGGAAGGCCUUCGGGUUGUAAACCGCUUUUGUCGGGGAAGAAACGCUCCUGGCUACUACCUUGGAGUAAUGACGGUACCCGAAGAAUAAGCACCGGCUGACUCCGUUCCAGCAGCCGCGGUAAUACGUAGGGUGCAAGCGUUAAUCGGAAUUACUGGGCGUAAAGCGUGCGCAGGCGGUCAUGCAAGACAGAUGUGAAAUCCCCGGGCUCAACCUGGGAACUGCAUUUGUGACUGCAUGGCUGGAGUGCGGCAGAGGGGGAUGGAAUUCCGCGUGUAGCAGUGAAAUGCGUAGAUAUGCGGAGGAACACCGAUGGCGAAGGCAAUCCCCUGGGCCUGCACUGACGCUCAUGCACGAAAGCGUGGGGAGCAAA